UUUCUCGAACUUAGAAGAGCUAAUUAUUUAUUUAUUUUAUUGUGAAAUAAAUAUUUAAAAUUGGUAGUUUGAAAUGAAACGUUAUUCGUUUCUAAAUAUAUCUAGUUUUUUUGGAAAUAAAUUUAAUUUAGUAUUUUUAAAGUAACUUUUUAAUUUAUUAAUAGUUUAUUUGAUUAAUACUAUGUUCUAGGGGAAGAACUUUAGAACAAAGUUUUAUAAAUUAAUAAAAUUUUACAGUAUAAAUAGGAUUAGAAAUUUCUAUUUUUAUAAUUUUGUUAUAAUUUUUAUUGUUUUGUUGUAAUUUGUAUUAGUUUUAAGUUUUUUACUAAAAGGUAAUUUUUAAUAAAGUUAAUUUAGUAAUAAUGAUUGAAUUAGUAUAUAAUAUAUUUGUUUAUAUAUAAAAAUUAUUUAAGGUUGGUAAAAGGAAUUCGGCAAAUGAUUUUUCACCUGUUUAUUAAAAACAUGUCCUUUUGAAUUUAAUUUAAGGUCUAGUCUGCCCACUGAGGUAUUAAAUGGCCGCGGUAAUUU
This 528-nucleotide ribosomal RNA is filed under the name Rhaphipodus suturalis. Its description in RNAcentral is "partial 16S ribosomal RNA". Lineage: Eukaryota; Metazoa; Arthropoda; Insecta; Coleoptera; Cerambycidae. The record is from RNAcentral.